UCCCUGGUGGUCCAGUGGUUAGGACUCUGUGCUUCCAAUGCAGGAGGUGCAGGUUUGGUCCCUGGAUGGGGAA
Molecule: transfer RNA, 73 nt
Filed under: Bos taurus (domestic cattle)
Lineage: Eukaryota; Metazoa; Chordata; Mammalia; Artiodactyla; Bovidae
Also listed under: 2 other names
Rfam family: tRNA
About the family: Transfer RNA (tRNA) molecules are approximately 80 nucleotides in length. Their secondary structure includes four short double-helical elements and three loops (D, anti-codon, and T loops).
Source: Rfam by way of RNAcentral